RNAcentral lists this long non-coding RNA (306 nucleotides) under Vigna radiata. RNAcentral's name for it is "long non-coding RNA (VRAD_LNC007798)". Lineage: Eukaryota; Viridiplantae; Streptophyta; Magnoliopsida; Fabales; Fabaceae. The record is from RNAcentral.
UCAUAAGUCACCACGGGUGCAAGACUCGCCAUAGCCCGACUAUCAUUUUAAAGUCCGGACGAGUCAAGUCUAGAAAAUAACAUGCUUAGGUUGUGUUUCUGAAACUGUUGGAUAUAAGUUAUUUCUUGUAUGUUACAUGCUUAAUCUGAUGCAUGAUUUUGUAUAAUUAGCUCACCCUGUUUGUGCCAUGUCUACUUGCUUGUUGUGUGUGCUUUCCUGUUGCAAUGAUCAUCCACUUGGAUGUGAGCAAAGGAAGGAGAGGUUUCACUGGAGCAUGUCUUGGAGGAAAAUGAAGAUGUUACAGCU